This is a long non-coding RNA of Portunus trituberculatus (swimming crab), 278 nucleotides long. RefSeq lists it as uncharacterized. The record is from RefSeq and is a predicted model, not a curated record. The transcript has 3 exons. NCBI's taxonomy places the organism in Eukaryota, Metazoa, Arthropoda, Malacostraca, Decapoda, Portunidae.
AGGAGAUGUCUCAUUUUCUCCUUUGGUAUCGGUGCCGAUUGGUCUUUUGAGGAUGAGGCUGAAGGAAAAUUGGGCUGCAAGGUGUUUGCUUUUGAUCCGACAAUUAAAGAAGACACACACAACCGAACAGAAAACAUACGUUUCUUCAACCUGGGCAUCAGUGACUUCAACAAGACUGGACCAAAUUUCAAAGUAAAGACGAACCGUUACUGCAACAUUCUCAAUGGGCUUGGUCAUCUCAACAGCAUCAUUGAUAUCCUCAAGAUUGACGUAGAGGG